RNAcentral lists this long non-coding RNA (3068 nucleotides) under Volvox carteri. RNAcentral describes it as "long non-coding RNA (VCAR_LNC000257)". Lineage: Eukaryota; Viridiplantae; Chlorophyta; Chlorophyceae; Chlamydomonadales; Volvocaceae. The record is from RNAcentral.
ACUCUGCGAAUGUUGAGCUUAUCUUAACAAUGUCUCAGACAACUUCCGUUGUCAGUGCAGACACAGAGCAGGUCAAAAACAAGGGUGGAAGGCCCGCUGAUCAGACCGUUUGGGCUCACUUUGAGAAGGAAGAAUAUAACGCAAAGUCUAAGAACUGGAUUAUCAUCUGCAAGUACUGCCGGAUCGAGUUCAAGCAAGGGCGCCUUCAGGAGAUGCGCCUCCAUAUCGCGCAAAAGUGCGCAGGUCCGUCCCGCCUGAGGUCCGGCACGAGCUGCAGGCAGUAGUGACCAAGGACGCCUGCAGCGCCUCGUCAGUGCCUUCGGACACACAGGAGCACGUCCCAUGAGGCGCAAUGGCACAUAGGGCCCACUAACAACGUUUGCAUACCAUGGACGUCAUAAAAUAAAGCUUUUUGAGGUUUCCGACAGUUUCCGACGGUUUUGCGAGGUUUUGCAGAAGGCUCCAAAAAUCGGAAACUAUUUCGGCAUUGGCAGUAAGGUUUCGGCCCGUACAUUGUGGAGGACCCAGCGAGCGACCGACACAAAACGCUCAUGGCCCAUUAUGAGAAGCAUGGUACGAAAAUUGAAGUACGAAGGGUUUAUGUCAGCAUUUUUAACGUUUCCGGGAGAGGUGGCGGCUGUUAUGUCAUCUACGUUAUAUAAUGGCCAAAUACCAGCCUCAGUCACUGCUCAUGAUCAACCUCUUUCCCGUUCCAGAGCUAGACCCCAUAAGUGUAGGAGAUAUAGACUUUACAACUUCUUUUAACUCAGCAUUUUACAGGAGGAAAAAGUCCUCCUAUAGUCGGUUGAGGCGUAGAAUGUAGGUUUCGAUUUUCUUUCCUCCCGCACUUGUAUAUGCGUAACUCCAGCAUAUCAUGUUUUCAGGUCAGGAAAGCAUGUUUUACAAUUAUGUCUGUUGUAUAUAUUGCAGUGAUAACGCAGCCAAGACCUCCUCGGAAAGUGGUGGUCACACGGGACCAUCAACGAGCACCACCGGUGCCGGCCCCGGACCAAGCUCCAGCAGCAACCAACAGGUAUUUCAAUACUGUAUCGUCUAGUGUAAUUUUAGUAAAGUAAUUAUAGUGAACUAAAAUGACACUAGACAAUCUCUGUAUUGUGAAUAGGGUCUGGUUUACUAAAACUAUGCUCAGACAGCCCACAUCCUGAAUAUUCUUACAACAUAAAUUCUUAUGAUACCUCUUUUCUGUUUUUUUUGUAGGUUGAUGCUGGAGUGGCCCUGAAGACUUUGGAGGAGGCCUUGGAGGAGGCUGCAUUACAAAGGGCGGCGGCGACCGCGGCCGCGGCGGCGGCGGCGGCGAAGCUCGCAGAGAAAGAUGCCGAGAUCGCAAGGCUACUAAAGCUGCUUUCACGCAUGAAGAUUCCUGAGGUAAGUUUUAAAGCUUCAUCUGUUGCCUGAUAUCUCGUUUUUGGGCGGGGCCCCAGCGCGAAGCGCCCAGGGGGGCCCCGACCUGUAGGAUUGCCCAUGUCCGUGUGUGUGUGUGUGUGUGUGUGUGUGUGUGUGUGUGUGUGUGUGUGUGUGUGUGUGUGUGUGUGUGUGUGUAACGGACCAAACAUAAUAUCUCGCCCGCCUGAAACUCGUUAUAGGUACUAUACAGCAUUCUCUAUUGCAAGGUAUCUCGCAUGUAGCCAACAAAAAUCGUAUGAGCACAAACAAGUUUGGCUGCCUCAAUUGACCGAGGCCAAAGUCACAUCAACGCCUCUCGCGCUAAAUUUCAUCUCAAAAGGUACCGCGUAUCUCAUAUUUGAAUUCUUAGAUGACGGCGUAUGAUAACUCGAACUCCCAGGCCUUGAGUGUGUAACGGACCAAACAGAAUAUUUCACCCGGCUGAAACGCGUUAUCGGUACUAUACAGCAUUCUCUAUUGCAAGGUAUCUCGCAUGUAGCUAACAAAGACCGUAUGAGCACAAACAAGUUUAGCUGCCUCCAUUCACCGACCUCAAAAGCCACAUCGACGCCUCUCGCGCUAAAUUUCAUCCCAAAAGCUGCCGCGUAUCUCACAAUGGAAUUCUGAGAUGACGGCGUAUGAUAACUUGAACACCCAGCUUGUGUUACCAUUUGCCGGCAUGGGCAAUCCGACUUGCCACCAGCAGGCCAACAUAAUUUGCUUUCAUUUCUCUAUGAAAUACACAAGCUCCUUGUUUGUACAUUUACUUUGGCCAAUGCACGGGGCCUCCGGAGACUUGCGGUGUGCCCCGAUGAAGCUCGCGGCUGUGGGGCGGAUUGCUGAGGCCGCUGGCGCAUCGGGGAUAAACAUCACAGACAGCACCGAAAUUCACCCAGCUUUCGUUACCAUUUGCCCGCAUGGGCAUUCCGACUUGCGGUCUGCCGCACUGUCCAUGCGGCAUGCACCCGGGAUGGAUGCGAUUCGCGUGGAGCCCGCAGGCGGUGCUGACGAUUCCGCCGGUGCAAGCUUAGCUCCCACACCAUCAGCACUGCUGCAACAAAGCACAUCUCCCACAGCGGUGACACUACCCAUCAAUUGUCACACGUGCCGCGCUAGCUACCGGCCUGUACGGAUGCAGGGGGGGCCCGCCCUUUUUCCGGCUUCGAGGAAGCCGACACCCGACUUGUCCUCCACCCUGUAUCUCCCUGCCUAAGGAUGGAUUCUCCCUCAUUCCCUAUUUUCCCAUUCUUUGGGCUUUCUUGGGUAUGCAGGGAUCUUCAAGUGAGGUACCGAGGCUGCAGGAAGCAGCUCAGGAGGCCACAGAGGAAGCCGCUGCAGCCGUUCCCACCACUAGGGAGGCACAUGUUGAUGAGGGAAUGAUGCCGGGCCAGCAGCAGUGGGCGCGGACACAGACAUUUAGAUGAGCAUGGCAAGGGCUGAUGGAUGUGACUGGAGAAGGGAUGGGAUGAGAUGUGAGAUGGUGAGAGUGAGGCAGCAAGGGACGGUUGAGACGGAGAGGCAGCAGCCAAAUGGACUGCAUCCUGGAAAAGAUUAGUGCUAAUUGAGACACUAUUUGAGGGUUGAACAAGUUGAAAAUUGUAUUGUAGUCAUGAUGCAAUAAAAAGCAGUCAGACUGACACAUCUUUGUAACACCACUAACGGCC